GGAGAGGUGGCAGAGCGGUUGAAUGCGGCGGUCUCGAAAACCGUUAAGGGUUUUAUAGGCCCUUCGGGGGUUCGAAUCCCCCCCUCUCCGCCA
RNAcentral lists this transfer RNA (93 nucleotides) under Wenzhouxiangella sp. RNAcentral describes it as "tRNA-Ser". It matches the Rfam family "tRNA". From Rfam's summary of the family: Transfer RNA (tRNA) molecules are approximately 80 nucleotides in length. Their secondary structure includes four short double-helical elements and three loops (D, anti-codon, and T loops). Further hydrogen bonds mediate the characteristic L-shaped molecular structure. tRNAs have two regions of fundamental functional importance: the anti-codon, which is responsible for specific mRNA codon recognition, and the 3' end, to which the tRNAs corresponding amino acid is attached (by aminoacyl-tRNA synthetases). tRNAs cope with the degeneracy of the genetic code in two manners: having more than one tRNA (with a specific anti-codon) for a particular amino acid; and 'wobble' base-pairing, i.e. permitting non-standard base-pairing at the 3rd anti-codon position. RNAcentral also lists the same sequence under 1 other name. Lineage: Bacteria; Pseudomonadati; Pseudomonadota; Gammaproteobacteria; Chromatiales; Wenzhouxiangellaceae. The record is from RNAcentral.